Molecule: ribosomal RNA, 119 nt
Filed under: Pteropus alecto (black flying fox)
Lineage: Eukaryota; Metazoa; Chordata; Mammalia; Chiroptera; Pteropodidae
Source: RNAcentral
GUCUAUGGCCAUGCCACCCUGAAUGUUCCCGAUCCCAUCUGAUCUCAGAAGUUAAGCAGGGUCGGGCCUGGUUAGUACUUGGAUGGGAGACCACCUAGGAAGACCAGGUGCUGUAGUUG